Molecule: ribosomal RNA, 477 nt
Filed under: uncultured organism
Description: partial 16S ribosomal RNA
Rfam family: Bacterial small subunit ribosomal RNA
Source: RNAcentral
ACGUACACUCCUGCGGGAGGCAGCAGUGGGGAAUAUUGCACAAUGGGCGCAAGCCUGAUGCAGCCAUGCCGCGUGUAUGAAGAAGGCCUUCGGGUUGUAAAGUACUUUCAGCGGGGAGGAAGGCAAUACGGUUAAUAACCGUGUUGAUUGACGUUACCCGCAGAAGAAGCACCGGCUAACUCCGUGCCAGCAGCCGCGGUAAUACGGAGGGUGCAAGCGUUAAUCGGAAUUACUGGGCGUAAAGCGCACGCAGGCGGUCUGUCAAGUCGGAUGUGAAAUCCCCGGGCUCAACCUGGGAACUGCAUUCGAAACUGGCAGGCUUGAGUCUUGUAGAGGGGGGUAGAAUUCCAGGUGUAGCGGUGAAAUGCGUAGAGAUCUGGAGGAAUACCGGUGGCGAAGGCGGCCCCCUGGACAAAGACUGACGCUCAGGUGCGAAAGCGUGGGGAGCAAACAGGAUUAGAUACCCUUGUAGUCCCA